GACGAACGCUGGCGGCGUGCUUAACACAUGCAAGUCGAACGGAAAGGCCCUGCUUUUGUGGGGUGCUCGAGUGGCGAACGGGUGAGUAACACGUGAGUAACCUGCCCUUGACUUUGGGAUAACUUCAGGAAACUGGGGCUAAUACCGGAUAGGAGCUCCUGCUGCAUGGUGGGGGUUGGAAAGUUUCGGCGGUUGGGGAUGGACUCGCGGCUUAUCAGCUUGUUGGUGGGGUAGUGGCUUACCAAGGCUUUGAGGGGUAGCCGGCCGGGGAGGGUGACCGGCAACAUGAGUCCUGCGGUAGGCCCAAGCCUCGAAGGUGCGGCAGUGGGGGAAAUCUUUACGCAGGGGCGGCGCGUGUGUGGAGAAAGCCCCGGGGGCGGAAUACGCGCUUAGGGGGGAAAACCCAAUUUGGCAGUAACUAUGCCGGUCUUGACGGUAACGGAUAAGAAAGCCCCGGCUAACUACGUG
Molecule: ribosomal RNA, 468 nt
Filed under: uncultured bacterium
Lineage: Bacteria
Description: partial 16S ribosomal RNA
Rfam family: Bacterial small subunit ribosomal RNA
Source: RNAcentral